RNAcentral lists this ribosomal RNA (816 nucleotides) under uncultured bacterium. RNAcentral describes it as "bacterial SSU rRNA". It matches the Rfam family "Bacterial small subunit ribosomal RNA", at positions 58 to 916 of the family's 1533-position model. The record is from RNAcentral.
CAAGUCGAACGCUCGUAGCAAUACGGGAGUGGCGGACGGGUGAGUAACGCGUGGGAACGUGCCCUGAGGUACGGAAUAACUGCGGGAAACUGCAGCUAAUACCGUAUGAGCCCCGCAAGGGGGAAAGAUUUAUCGCCUUAGGAGCGGCCCGCGUCGGAUUAGCUAGUUGGUGGGGUAAUGGCUUACCAAGGCUUCGAUCCGUAGCUGGUCUGAGAGGACGAUCAGCCACACUGGGGCUGAGACACGGCCCAGACUCCUACGGGAGGCAGCAGUGGGGAAUCUUGCGCAAUGGGGGCAACCCUGACGCAGCCAUGCCGCGUGAAUGAUGAAGGCCUUAGGGUUGUAAAGUUCUUUUGCCCGUGACGAUGAUGACGGUAACGGGAGAAUAAGCUCCGGCUAACUUCGUGCCAGCAGCCGCGGUAAUACGAAGGGGGCUAGCGUUGUUCGGAAUUACUGGGCGUAAAGCGCGCGCAGGCGGUUCGAUAAGUUAGGGGUGAAAUCCCUGGGCUCAACCCAGGAAUGGCCUUUAAGACUGUCGAGCUAGAGGACGAGAGAGGUGAGUGGAAUUCCCAGUGUAGAGGUGAAAUUCGUAGAUAUUGGGAAGAACACCGGUGGCGAAGGCGGCUCACUGGCUCGUUUCUGACGCUGAGGCGCGAAAGCGUGGGGAGCAAACAGGAUUAGAUACCCUGGUAGUCCACGCCCUAAACGAUGAGUGCCAGGUGUCGGGAAGCUUAGCUUCUCGGCGCCGCAGCUAACGCCUUAAGCACUCCGCCUGGGGAGUACGGCCGCAAGGUUAAAACUCAAAGGAAUUGACGG